AGAGUUUGAUCCUGGCUCAGAUUGAACGCUGGCGGCAGGCCUAACACAUGCAGUCGAGCGGCAGCGGGAGGAAGCUUGCUUCCUCGCCGGCGAGCGGCGGACGGGUGAGUAAUGUCUGGGGAUCUGCCCGAUGGAGGGGGAUAACCACUGGAAACGGUGGCUAAUACCGCAUAACGUCGCAAGACCAAAGUGGGGGACCUUCGGGCCUCACACCAUCGGAUGAACCCAGAUGGGAUUAGCUAGUAGGUGGGGUAAUGGCUCACCUAGGCGACGAUCCCUAGCUGGUCUGAGAGGAUGACCAGCCACACUGGAACUGAGACACGGUCCAGACUCCUACGGGAGGCAGCAGUGGGGAAUAUUGCACAAUGGGCGCAAGCCUGAUGCAGCCAUGCCGCGUGUGUGAAGAAGGCCUUCGGGUUGUAAAGCACUUUCAGCGAGGAGGAAGGUGGUGAGCUUAAUACGCUCAUCAAUGACGUACUCGCAGAAGAAGCACCGGCUAACUCCGUGCCAGCAGCCGCGGU
This 521-nucleotide ribosomal RNA is filed under the name Serratia rubidaea. Its description in RNAcentral is "bacterial SSU rRNA". It matches the Rfam family "Bacterial small subunit ribosomal RNA", at positions 8 to 521 of the family's 1533-position model. Lineage: Bacteria; Pseudomonadati; Pseudomonadota; Gammaproteobacteria; Enterobacterales; Yersiniaceae. The record is from RNAcentral.